CGGCAGUGCGGGACUCCGGUAGCCGCCCCUCCGGUAGCCGCCCCUCCUGCCCCCGCGCCGCCGCCCUAUAUGUUGCCCGCCGCGGCCUCUGGGGCAUGGAGCACGCUGCCCAGCCCUGGCGAUGGCAACGGCGACGGGGGUGGCGGAGGAGCGCCUGCUGGCCGCGCUCGCCUACCUGCAGUGCGCCGUGGGCUGCGCGGUCUUCGCGCGGAAUCGUCAGACGAACUCAGUGUACGGCCGCCACGCGCUGCCCAGCCACAGGCUCCGAGUGCCAGCGCGGGCCGCCUGGGUGGUGCAGGAGCUGCCCUCGCUGGCCCUGCCGCUCUACCAGUACGCCAGCGAGUCCGCCCCGCGUCUCCGCAGCGCGCCCAACUGCAUCCUCCUGGCCAUGUUCCUCGUCCACUACGGGCAUCGGUGCUUAAUUUACCCAUUUCUGAUGCGAGGAGGAAAGCCUAUGCCACUGUUGGCGUGUACAAUGGCGAUUAUGUUCUGUACCUGUAACGGCUAUUUGCAAAGCAGAUACUUGAGCCAUUGUGCAGUGUAUGCUGAUGACUGGGUAACAGAUCCCCGUUUUUUAAUAGAGGAAGAAUAGGCUUUUGAGUUCCUGUGCAGAUCACAUGAUUUAUGCCUCCCCAUGUUCUCUGAGGCAGAAAGGAUGUCCC
RNAcentral lists this small RNA (662 nucleotides) under Pan troglodytes (chimpanzee). RNAcentral describes it as "processed transcript". Lineage: Eukaryota; Metazoa; Chordata; Mammalia; Primates; Hominidae. The record is from RNAcentral.